RNAcentral lists this ribosomal RNA (498 nucleotides) under uncultured Anaplasma sp. RNAcentral's name for it is "bacterial SSU rRNA". It matches the Rfam family "Bacterial small subunit ribosomal RNA", at positions 128 to 660 of the family's 1533-position model. Lineage: Bacteria; Pseudomonadati; Pseudomonadota; Alphaproteobacteria; Rickettsiales; Anaplasmataceae. The record is from RNAcentral.
ACCUAGUAGUAUGGGAUAGCCACUAGAAAUGGUGGGUAAUACUGUAUAAUCCCUGCGGGGGAAAGAUUUAUCGCUAUUAGAUGAGCCUAUGUCAGAUUAGCUAGUUGGUGGGGUAAUGGCCUACCAAGGCGGUGAUCUGUAGCUGGUCUGAGAGGAUGAUCAGCCACACUGGAACUGAGACACGGUCCAGACUCCUACGGGAGGCAGCAGUGGGGAAUAUUGGACAAUGGGCGCAAGCCUGAUCCAGCUAUGCCGCGUGAGUGAGGAAGGCCUUAGGGUUGUAAAACUCUUUCAGUAGGGAAGAUAAUGACGGUACCUACAGAAGAAGUCCCGGCAAACUCCGUGCCAGCAGCCGCGGUAAUACGGAGGGGGCAAGCGUUGUUCGGAAUUAUUGGGCGUAAAGGGCAUGUAGGCGGUUUGGUAAGUUAAAGGUGAAAUACCAGGGCUUAACCCUGGAGCUGCUUUUAAUACUGCAGGACUAGAGUCCGGAAGAGGAUA